Molecule: unclassified non-coding RNA, 212 nt
Filed under: Hevea brasiliensis (rubber tree)
Lineage: Eukaryota; Viridiplantae; Streptophyta; Magnoliopsida; Malpighiales; Euphorbiaceae
Source: RNAcentral
AUGCGUCAUUUUGAAAAAGGAGACCAUGUUUCAGCUUUGGUGACGGGGGAAUUUUAUACAAAGAAAGAGCACUUUCCAGGAUUUGCACGGCCGUUUGUAUUCAAUGCUGAAGUUUUGCUGAAGGUUGGGCGUAAGCUAGAAGCCAAGGAUGCUGCCAGGGGAGCUCUGAAGUCACCAUGGUGGACUCUGGGUUGCAGGUACCAGGAAGUGGC